RNAcentral lists this unclassified non-coding RNA (512 nucleotides) under Hevea brasiliensis (rubber tree). The record is from RNAcentral. Lineage: Eukaryota; Viridiplantae; Streptophyta; Magnoliopsida; Malpighiales; Euphorbiaceae.
AAGUAUACAAGACCAGAUUAAUCUCUCAAGAAUGAAUAUGAUAUCAACGGCCUAAGUUGAAAACAUCUAACAGCCUCCAUUGCUCUUAAGGAGACAAUAUAGCAUCCAAGCCUCCUACAUUCCCAUCUGUGUGGUACUGGUUCUACAGUAAGAAAGUGCUAGUAUACGAGUUGGUAGCAAAUGAAUCAGAGAAGUAUGAUGGAUGUGGAGAUAAUUGCCCAAGAGAGAUAAAAAUCAAUUAAUUAAUGAUCAAAGUGGAAAACAUUGUACCCCGUCAGGGAGAUUCCUAGGCAUUGGAAGUGCAGUAACAUAUCUUUGGAGACGGGAUUUCUGAGUUGCAUCAGAGGAUGAUGAGGUCUCAGCCCCAUCAGCUUGGCCCCGUCCAUGGAACUUGGCAAAACGAUUGAUAACAGAAUACUUCUCUAGCUCUUGGCAUUCCACUCUCAGGUCUAGAACAGAUGUUCUCUUGUCCAAUCUCAAGAUAUCAUUUUCUAGCUUCCUUGCUCUACUGA